GCCAGUGUGGCAUAGUGGUUUGAGUGUUGGACUACAACUCAGGAGAUCAGGGUUCGAUUCUCCACUUGUC
RNAcentral lists this transfer RNA (70 nucleotides) under Phrynosoma platyrhinos (Desert horned lizard). RNAcentral's name for it is "tRNA-OTHER". The record is from RNAcentral. Lineage: Eukaryota; Metazoa; Chordata; Lepidosauria; Squamata; Phrynosomatidae.